UAAUAAGUGUUUUAUGGCACUUUUUAAAUCCAUAUCCACCUUGUGUGCAAUGUCGGUCGAUCUUCUUUUUUUGAGGAUCGACCAAACAUCAACCUUUAUCUUUUAACUCUUUGUCUGAAAAAUAUUAUGAAUAAAUAAUUCAAAAUA
This 147-nucleotide unclassified non-coding RNA is filed under the name soil metagenome. RNAcentral describes it as "partial internal transcribed spacer 1". The record is from RNAcentral.